RNAcentral lists this long non-coding RNA (200 nucleotides) under Elaeis guineensis (African oil palm). RNAcentral's name for it is "long non-coding RNA (EGUI_LNC028611)". The record is from RNAcentral. Lineage: Eukaryota; Viridiplantae; Streptophyta; Magnoliopsida; Arecales; Arecaceae.
GAAGUAUAUAGUAGUAAAGAUUGUCUUUUCCUAUAGUUAAGUUCUUACUUGCUAGUUCAAACUAUAUUUGCAUGUAUUGGAGUUGUAGAUAGAGCUAGUCUAUGUAUGUGAGUGGGGAGGAAGCUGUCAUUGAUGCUACUAAUAUGAAUAUUUACUAUAGUUGAUUUCGAAUUGGGAAAUAGAUAAAAGGGGCAUUAUAG